This 3162-nucleotide ribosomal RNA is filed under the name Gastrodia elata f. glauca. RNAcentral's name for it is "eukaryotic LSU rRNA". It matches the Rfam family "Eukaryotic large subunit ribosomal RNA". Lineage: Eukaryota; Viridiplantae; Streptophyta; Magnoliopsida; Asparagales; Orchidaceae. The record is from RNAcentral.
GAUCUUAAAUCCCUGCAUCGAACGCCCGCGGCGGCUAGGAAUGUGACCUUAGGAUGGGCGGAGCCACCCACCAAGUUUAAGAAUAUCAAUAAGCGGAGGAGAAUAAUUGUAGUCUGGAGAAGGGUCCUCAGCAACGGAUUGGGCCCAAGUCCCCUGGAAGGAAGCACCGAGGAGGGUGAGAGCUCUGUUCGGCCCUAACCCUGCCACAACACAAGGCGCUAUCGGCAAGUCAGGCUGUUUGGAAAUGCAGCCCUAAUAGAGCGAUAAAUUUCGUCCAAGGCUAAAUAUAGACAAGAGGCCAAUAGCGAACAAGUACCACGAGGGAAAGAUGAAAAGGACUUUGAAAAAAGAGUCAAAAUGUGCUUAAAAUUGCUGGGAGGGAAGCAGACAGGGGCUGGCGGUGCCCCUCGGCCUGAAGCGGAAUGGAUGCAUCUGGCUUGUGGCUCUACUCAAGGUGCGGAUAGUUACAGGCCAGCCCGACGGCAAGAGUAUUGGCGAUUGUUGCCCGAGAAGACACCGACACGACGGCCUUGGAAAAUAGCGCGCACCGGCUCGAUGUGCCCCUUUGAGGGCUCCAGUGCACUCGUUGCAACAACCUGUGGGCUCCCUAUUCGACCCUUCUUGAAACACGGACCAAGGAGCCUGACAUGCUUACGAGUCGACUGGAGUCAAAGCCCAAUGGGCCAAGGAAGCUGAUGCGUGGGAUCCUCUAGGAAGGUGCACCGCCGGCUGACCUUGAUCUUUUUGUGAAGGGUUCAGGUGAGAUCAUGUGCAUUGGGACCUAAAAGAUGGUCAACUAUACCUGAGCAGGGUAAAUCUAGUAGAAACUCUAGUGGAGGCCCAUAGUGAUACUAACGUGCAAAUCAUUAGUCUGACUCGGGUAUAGGGGCAAGAGACUAAUUAAGCCAUCUAGUAGCUAGUUCCCUACAAAGUUUCCCUCAAGAUAGCUGGAGCUUCAGACGGAGUUCUAUCGGGCAAAGCCAGUGAUUAGAGGCAUCGGGGGCAUAACACCCAUGACCUAUUCACAAACUUUAAAUAGAUAGGACGGCCCGACUGCUACAUUGAGCUGAGCCGUAGGAUCAAGGGCUCCAAGUGGGUCAUUUUUGGUUUGUAGAAUUGACGAUGCGGGAUGAAUCGGAGGCCGGGUUAUGGUGCCCAAGUGCAUGCUAACCUAAAACCACAAAGGGUGUUGGUUGAUUAAGAUGGUAGGAUGGUGUUCAUGGAAGUCAAAAUUCGUUAAGGAGUGUGUAACAACUCACUUGCCGAGUGAACUAGCCCCGAAAAUGAAUGGUGCUAAAGCGUGCGACCCACACCCGGCCAUCGGGGCAAUGGCCGGGCCUGGAUCAAUUGAAGGGUGUGGUGGCCACCGGAAAACUCAGGGCGCAAGCUCGUACAGAGCGGCCAUUGGUAUGGAUCUUGGUGGUAGUAGAAAAUAUUUAAAUGAGAACUUUGAAGGCCGAAGGGGGAAAAUAUUCCAUGUGAAUGACACUUACACAUGGAUUAGCCGAUCCUAAGAGACUAGGGAGGCUCAUAAAAUAGUGCUGGUUUGUGCGAGCUUUGAAAAUGAGUUGGGUUUAAAUUAUUGAGCUGGAAUGUGGCGGUUGACAACAACGUUAGGUAGUCCGGAGAUGCCCGCGGGGGCCUCGGGAAUAAUUAUCUUCUCUGCUUAAUAGUCUGCCUGCCCUGGAAGCUGCUCAGCUUGACGUAGGGCCUAGCGGCUCAAAGAGGGCCGCACGUUGAGCGACGUCCAGUGCGUCCCUGGCAGCCCUUGAAAAUUUGGAGGGCUGAGUGUUGUGCACGGCCAGUCAUACGUAUAACUGCAUCAAGACUCCAAGGUGAACAGCCUAUAGUUAAUGGAGCAAUAUAGGCAAGGGAAGUCGGCAAAAUAGACCCAUAACUUCGGGAAAAGCAUUGGAUCUAAUGGUUGGGCUUGGGGAUCCCAGUCCCGAAUCCAUCAGCUGUCAGCAAACUACUUGUGCUACGUCUGUGGAGAAAGCGGGUCGUCGCGUUCUGGCUAGGAGACGGAUUGGGAAUUGCACCAUGGGGCUUCCCCGGGCAUCGAAAAACUGACUCAGAACUGGUACGCUCAAGGGGAAUCCGACUGCUUAAUUAAAAUAAAGCAUUGCGAUGGUCCCAGCGGAUGCUCACGCAAUGUGAUUUCUGCCCAGUUCUCUGAAUGUCAAAGUGAAGAAAUUCAACUAGGCACGGAUAAACUGUGAGAGUAACUAUGACUCUCUUAAGGUAGUCAAAUGCCUCGUCAUCUAAUUAGUGACACACAUGAAUGGAUUAAUGAGAAUCUCAUUGUCCCUAUCUACUAUCCAGUGAAACCACUGCCAAUGUAACAGGCUUGAUAGAAUCAACAAAGAAAGAAGACCUUAUUAAGCUUGACUCUAGUCCAACAUUGUUAAAUGACUUGAGAGGUGUAGGAUAAGUGGGAGUUGGCUCGUCGGCGGAUGCGAGAAAACCACUACUUUUAAUAUUAUUUUACUUAUUCUAUGAGACGGAGGUGCGGCGUUGCCCCUCCAUUUGGCUAUCAAGUCCUUCUACGGCGGGUCGAUUCGGGCGGAAGACAUUGUUAGGUGGGGAGUUUGGUUGGGGCAGCACAUCUGUUAAAAGAUAAUGUAGGUGUCCAAAGAUGAGCUCAACGAGAAAAAAAAUCUCGUGUGGAACAAAAGGGUAAGAGCUUGUUUAAUUCUGAUUUCCAAUGCGAAUAUGAACCGUGAAAGCGUGGCCUAUCGAACCUUUAGUUAUUCGGAGUUUGGAGCUAGAGGUGUCAGAAAAGUUACCACAUGGAUAACUGGCCUGUGGCAGCCAAGCGUUCAUAGUGACGUUGCUUUUUGAUCAUUCAAUGUCAGCUCUUCCUAUCAUAGUAAAGCAGAAUUCACCAAAUGUUGAAUUGUUCACCCAUCAAUAGGGAAUGUGAGCCGGGUUUAGACUAUCGUGAGACAGGUUAGUUUUACCCUUCUGAUGAUCGUACCGCAUUAAUAAUUCAACCCCGUACGAGAGGAACCAUUGAUUCACACAAUUGGUCAUCGCUCUUGGUUGAAAAGCUAGUGGCGCAAAGCUACCGUGUGCAGGAUUAUGACUGAACGCCUCUAAUUGGUAUGGCCUGCACAGUUUAACUAAGGCGAGGCAGGGCAAUGUUCCCAGCGGAUAUCCGGU